Molecule: transfer RNA, 72 nt
Filed under: Mus musculus (house mouse)
Lineage: Eukaryota; Metazoa; Chordata; Mammalia; Rodentia; Muridae
Description: tRNA-Ser
Source: RNAcentral
GGUGAGCUGGCUCAGCGGUUGAGAGCACUGACUGCUCUUUCCAGAGGUUCUGAGUUCAAUUCCCAGCAACCA